This 443-nucleotide ribosomal RNA is filed under the name Hydractinia sp. G.M. Its description in RNAcentral is "partial 16S ribosomal RNA". It matches the Rfam family "Bacterial large subunit ribosomal RNA", at positions 1925 to 2522 of the family's 2925-position model. The record is from RNAcentral. Lineage: Eukaryota; Metazoa; Cnidaria; Hydrozoa; Anthoathecata; Hydractiniidae.
UAAAGGACGCAGUAUCCUGACUGUGAUAAUGUAGCAUAAUCAUUCGCCAUUUAAUUGAUGGAUAGUAUGAAUGGUUGAACGAAUUCUUCGCUGUCUUAAAAAAAGAAAUAAUGAAAUUUAAAUAAUAGUAAAGAUGCUAUUUAAAAUUGUAAGACGAAAAGACCCUAUAGAGCUUAACUAUAAGUUCUUUUUACCCUAAAGAAUUUAAUUCCAUAAAUAAAGAACUUGGUAGUUUAGUUGGGGCGACUAUCUUCUAAUAUUAACGAAGACAAGCAAAAUUAAUAUAUAAUUUAUUGUAUAACCUAUAAGUUUAACAAUUACUACAGUAGGCAUAAUGACCCGUUUUCAUUUAGUAAUUAAAGAAAACGAUCAAUAAAUAAAAGCUACCUUAGGGAUAACAGGAUAAUUUUGUUUUAGAGAUCACAUCGAAAACAAAGUUUGUC